This 226-nucleotide long non-coding RNA is filed under the name Citrus maxima (pomelo). RNAcentral's name for it is "long non-coding RNA (CMAX_LNC002761)". Lineage: Eukaryota; Viridiplantae; Streptophyta; Magnoliopsida; Sapindales; Rutaceae. The record is from RNAcentral.
UGAUUAAUAAUGAAAAAGACUGAACCGUGGGGAUCGUUGGUCAUUUUUAUUUCCUCUUCGUGUUUCAAACCCUACAAAUAUAUCAGUCGAAAACGGAACAAGACUCUGUUUUUCCCUCAAUAAUUGCUACGCAGCAAAAGCUCGUAGCGUUGGCCGUUCAAAGCAGGGCCCAAAUUUAGAGACUCGUAGAGGGUUGGAUUUACACGGAAAUGUUUUUGUUUUGGAG